ACUUCAGGUGCUUUGAAUCA
This 20-nucleotide microRNA is filed under the name Chrysemys picta (Painted turtle). Its description in RNAcentral is "cpi-miR-1677d-3p". Lineage: Eukaryota; Metazoa; Chordata; Testudines; Emydidae. The record is from miRBase by way of RNAcentral.